CUGUAAAAUGUCGAUGUAGGAUUACAUGAUAACACAUGCAAAGCCUCUGGUAGAACACUCAGGGCAGCACUGCUCAUGCUUCUUAGUUGCCUUCCCCUGAUCUGGAGUGUCAAUUAAUCUUGGUUUGAGUUCCUCUUGCCCACCAGUGCACUUUGGUCCCCCAUUCAGUCAUGUAGCAAGGGGCUAUUCCUCCAGCUGUUCUUGAGUAAGCAUGGCACCUCACAUUCAUAUAGAAUGGUUACUAAUAGUCAUCCAAGUUAUUGAGAAAAAUAUUGACCACAAUGUACCACUCUCCCACUCCACUUUUUCCUAAUUAAUCUUUCCUUUGGGACUCAGCUAAGUUGUUCAUUCUGCUGGGAGUGCUCCACCCACCCAGAGCUGCCCCGAGUGCCUGCCUUGUGUUCUCUGCAUCCCCUCACCACCUUCCUUUGUGACAAGCAGCUGAGGUGUCUGUAACCCGAAUCAAUACUGGAUCAGCUCCUUGAAGAUAGAGAUUGGGUCACACAAUUAUCCUUAUAUCUUAGAGCACAGCACCUGCCUGGUACAUAGCUGGCAUUCAGAAAAUAUUAGCUACGCAAAAAUGUGUUUAAGUAUUAUAACCUUGAGUUGAUGAAACUCUGAGGCAAGAAAUAGUAUUUAUAGAGGAUUUCAUGAAAAAUGUACAAUUUAUCGAUCUCAUCAGUUCUCAGAUUUGGCUAUAUAUUAAAAUCCCCUGGAAACAUAGAAAAAAUCAGAAUCUCUGGUUGGUGGAGUCCUGUGUUGGUAUUUUGCAAAAGUUCCCAGGACUUCCUAAUGUGCAGCUAGGGUUGGAAACCACUGCUCCAGAAAAUCCACAUUUUACCACUGAAGAACUGCCUGCAUAUCCUGUACCAUUUAGGCCCUGCACUAAAGUGCCUUUAUUGAAUUAUACUUGGGCUUUGUGUCCAAUUUGACUGAACCUGGGAUAUAACUGUGCGACUCUUGUCACCGGAGAUAUGGGGAGAUGUUGUUGUCAAUGGAUCCUCUUUAUGAAGACACACCAGAGAGAUGCCUAUUGGGCAUCAGCACCAAAAAAAGGCCAUGAUCCUCCUGAGCAACCAGUUCAUGUUUGUCUUACGGAUUCCAGGAAUCAUUUAAUUAACACUAUUUUCCAGGUUUGUAGUAGCUGCUGCAAAGCUCAAGAUCAAAGCCAUGGUGCAUCUUUAUCACCUACAAAGAAUUUUGUGGUGUGUGUGUUACAUAUUGACUUGGUUCUGCAUUAUUUUUUGUCUUUUUCUCUUCACCCUCUGAUAUGGUUUAGGUCUGUGUCCCUACCCAAAUCUCAUGUCAAAUUAUAAUUCUCAAUGUUGGAGGAGGGGCCUGGUGGGAGGUGAUUGGAUCAUGGGGGCAGACAUCCCCCUUGCUGUUCUCUCAAUAAUGAGUUUUUAUGAGAUCUGGUCGUUUGAAAGUGUGUAGCACCUCCUCCUUUGCUCUCUUUUUCCUGCUGGCCAUGUGAAGAUGUGCCUGCUUCCCCUUCGCCUUCCGCCAUGAUUGUAAGUUUUCUGAGGCCUCUCCAGAAGCAGAAGCCUGUAUAGCCCACAGAACUAUGAGUCAAUUAAACCUCUUUUCUUUAUAAAUUACCCAGUCUCAAGUAUGUCUUUAUAUCAGUGUGAGAAUGUAUGAAUACACCCUCCUUUCCUUAACUUUUUCUAUAAUAAAGCUUUUUAAUUGAGAUAAUUCACAUAUCAUAAUAUUCGCCCUUUUAAAGUGUACAAUCCAGUGGUUUUUAGUGUAUUUACAAGAUUGUGUGACCAUCACUACUAAUUCCAGACCAUUUCCAUCACCCCAAAAAUAAACUCCACACCCAUUAGCAGUCACUUCUCACUCUCUCUUCCCCUCGACUUACUUUCUGUCUUUAUGGAUUUGCCUGUUCUAGAUAUUUCAUAUCUAGAUAUUUCAUAUAAAUGGAAUCAUACAAUAUGUGGCUUUCUGUGUCUGGUUUCCUGUACUUAGCAUAAUGUUUUCAAGGUUCAUCCAUGGUAUCAGUAGUUUAUUCCUUUUUUAUGGCUGAAUAGUAUUCUAUUGUAUGGACAUACCACAUUUUGUUUAUACAUUCAUCAGCUGUUGGACAUUUGGGUUUCUACUUUUUGGCUAUUAUGAAUUAUGCUGCUGAGAAUAUUCAUGCACAAGUUUUUAUGUGAAUAUGUUUUAGUUCUCUUGGGUACAUAUUAGAAGGGUGGUUUGCUGUGUCAGAUAGUAACUCUGUGUUUAACUUUUUGAGACCCUUUCCUCAUUUAAAGAAAUGUUUUUGUCUUAUAGUAUAGUAUGUAUCUCUGUAAGCCACUACAGAUUCCUCUUUUUGGAAUGAGGUGGCAUAUAAAUAAAUAAAUAAAAAGUCACAAAGC
RNAcentral lists this long non-coding RNA (2363 nucleotides) under Homo sapiens (human). Its description in RNAcentral is "non-protein coding lnc-ELK4-1:2". Lineage: Eukaryota; Metazoa; Chordata; Mammalia; Primates; Hominidae. The record is from RNAcentral.